Molecule: long non-coding RNA, 485 nt
Filed under: Prunus persica (peach)
Lineage: Eukaryota; Viridiplantae; Streptophyta; Magnoliopsida; Rosales; Rosaceae
Description: long non-coding RNA (PPER_LNC002176)
Source: RNAcentral
GAGAAGGAUCAGGCGAGAACGCUUAUGUGAGAACAUUACAUGAGAACACCAUUGGAUCUAAUCUAACGGCUACAUGGAAAGCAAUUGUAAGUGUAAGUAUUGUAUUAGAACGAGGCCUUCUUCUCUCUCCUCCCUCCAAAAUGUUCAGUCGAAAACGGACGUCCCCUCCAAAAUAGAAGUCCCCUCUAAUCCAGCUAUUCGGUUUGUUCAAUUAGGUGGCCAAUUUUUUUUAUCAACUUUGAUUGAGCAAGACCAAUAACACUGAAAAGAGAGCGCCCAUGUUAUUCCUUAUUCAAUUCAAGGAAGAACACAAAAGUAUAGCCCUCAUUUUUCUGGGUUUCUCAUUCAGGCAAAACAAAGUAUUCGUGUAUUUUAUACUAUCAUCUUUGUGGUUCGGUCUUUCUGGUCGGAACAUUCGUCAAUCCUUGAGUAAUGUCUUCAGUUGGAAACUGGUGACCGCGACCGUUGUGUUGUUCUCUUGGUUU